RNAcentral lists this transfer-messenger RNA (281 nucleotides) under Streptomyces phage Daubenski. RNAcentral's name for it is "170". It matches the Rfam family "transfer-messenger RNA". Rfam says of the family: Bacterial tmRNA, also known as 10Sa RNA or SsrA, is named for its dual tRNA and mRNA-like properties. Its role is to liberate the mRNA from a stalled ribosome. To accomplish this part of the tmRNA is used as a reading frame that ends in a translation stop signal. Lineage: Duplodnaviria; Heunggongvirae; Uroviricota; Caudoviricetes; Stanwilliamsviridae. The record is from RNAcentral. RNAcentral also lists the same sequence under 1 other name.
GGGAGUGACCGGUUUCGACUGGCGAGGAUGACAGUUAGUUUGCAGCCAGACAUUGAGGAGAUGUCUCUAAAAAGCCUCAAACCUAUAAAUGCCAACUCUAACGUUGCAUUCGCUCUUGCAGCCUGACGGCUGCUGAGCCGGGCGGUGACUGCCUUGGAACAGAAAGUCACUCAUUGUAAGACCUGGCAAGGAUAUGCAUCGUAGUACCUGCUUGACACAUGGCUGUGUAUAGACUACUGUGAGAGACGUCAGGACGGGGGUUCGAUUCCCCCCACUUCCAC